GAAUCCCCUUCACACGUGCAGACAAAGAGCGCCAACAACACAACCCAAAUAUGCACUUUUAAACUUUUCCAAACGAAACGGACGACUUCCACGAACAUAGGAAAUGCAACGAACGCAACAAGGAAUAAAGGCGGAUGAAGUCCUGGUGGUUUAGGGAGUGUGGGGCAUUGAGCAACAGGUAUAAGACACAGCACAGUGGGUUGAAACCUGUUUAAUUGGAAAAGCUUUUCUUUUUCGGGAGGCCUGAAUUGGGAAAAAGUACCUUGGAGCCGUACCUUUACAACAGGAUUUUAGCUGCAGGACCUCUGAAUAACCACCUACACUGUGGCGGAUUGACCCGCGACCUGUACCGGACUCAUGGAAUCAGAAUUGGAUUAUAUCUUCCGGCGCACAUCACAACAAAGGCGUUCCAAAUUGGAUAGGCGUCUCAUCGGACCCUCAAGGACAA
Oncorhynchus gorbuscha (pink salmon) is the source of this 448-nucleotide long non-coding RNA. RefSeq lists it as uncharacterized. The transcript has 3 exons. Lineage: Eukaryota; Metazoa; Chordata; Actinopteri; Salmoniformes; Salmonidae. The record is from RefSeq and is a predicted model, not a curated record.